AAAUCGUACCCCAAACCGACACAGGUGGUCAGGUAGAGAAUACCAAGGCGCUUGAGAGAACUCGGGUGAAGGAACUAGGCAAAAUGGUGCCGUAACUUCGGGAGAAGGCACGCUGAUAUGUAGGUGAAGCCCCUGCGGGUGGAGCUGAAAUCAGUCGAAGAUACCAGCUGGCUGCAACUGUUUAUUAAAAACACAGCACUGUGCAAACACGAAAGUGGACGUAUACGGUGUGACGCCUGCCCGGUGCCGGAAGGUUAAUUGAUGGGGUUAGCGGCAACGCGAAGCUCUUGAUCGAAGCCCCGGUAAACGGCGGCCGUAACUAUAACGGUCCUAAGGUAGCGAAAUUCCUUGUCGGGUAAGUUCCGACCUGCACGAAUGGCGUAAUGAUGGCCAGGCUGUCUCCACCCGAGACUCAGUGAAAUUGAACUCGCUGUGAAGAUGCAGUGUACCCGCGGCAAGACGGAAAGACCCCGUGAACCUUUACUAUAGCUUGACACUGAACACUGGUCCUUGAUGUGUAGGAUAGGUGGGAGGCUUUGAAGCGUGGACGCCAGUCUGCGUGGAGCCGUCCUUGAAAUACCACCCUUUAAUGGCUGGUGUUCUAACGUAGACCCGUGAUCCGGGUUGCGGACAGUGUCUGGUGGGUAGUUUGACUGGGGCGGUCUCCUCCCAAAGAGUAACGGAGGAGCACGAAGGUUAGCUAAUCCUGGUCGGACAUCAGGAGGUUAGUGCAAUGGCAUAAGCUAGCUUGACUGCGAGAGUGACGGCUCGAGCAGGUGCGAAAGCAGGUCAUAGUGAUCCGGUGGUUCUGAAUGGAAGGGCCAUCGCUCAACGGAUAAAAGGUACUCCGGGGAUAACAGGCUGAUACCGCCCAAGAGUUCAUAUCGACGGCGGUGUUUGGCACCUCGAUGUCGGCUCAUCACAUCCUGGGGCUGAAGUAGGUCCCAAGGGUAUGGCUGUUCGCCAUUUAAAGUGGUACGCGAGCUGGGUUUAGAACGUCGUGAGACAGUUCGGUCCCUAUCUGCCGUGGGCGCUGGAGAAUUGAGGGGGGCUGCUCCUAGUACGAGAGGACCGGAGUGGACGCAUCACUGGUGUUCGGGUUGUCAUGCCAAUGGCACUGCCCGGUAGCUAAAUGCGGAAAAGAUAAGUGCUGAAAGCAUCUAAGCACGAAACUUGCCCCGAGAUGAGUUCUCCCUGAGACUUUAAGUCUCCUGAAGGAACGUUGAAGACGACGACGUUGAUAGGUCGGGUGUGUAAGCGCAGCGAUGCGUUGAGCUAACCGAUACUAAUGAACCGUGAGGCUUAACCUUACAACGCCGAAGGUGUUU
RNAcentral lists this ribosomal RNA (1328 nucleotides) under Enterobacter sp. AD2-3. Its description in RNAcentral is "partial 23S ribosomal RNA". It matches the Rfam family "Bacterial large subunit ribosomal RNA", at positions 1639 to 2925 of the family's 2925-position model. The record is from RNAcentral. Lineage: Bacteria; Pseudomonadati; Pseudomonadota; Gammaproteobacteria; Enterobacterales; Enterobacteriaceae.